GGGGGUGCAAUGGUUUCGAUGUGAUUUGAAGGUUUAAGCAAGCGAGUAGCGAGACGGAACCGCUUUAAAAUUCGUAACUUUUUAAAUGGAAAAUCGUUGUAUGGGGACGACCCAAACAGAGGCCAAGCCAAAGUAAUUAGCUUCCCUGGAAUUAGAUCUGAGGUUUGUGCUGCUUAAUUAAAGUAAACGCUGAAUUUUUAUUAUAAUUUAGCUCGUCUUUUAGAUUUCGCCAUGAAUUUAAAAUGAUGUUAUUUAAUGGCGGCGAUCUGGGAUUUUUUCUUUUCACCUUUUCGCAAUUUAUAAAGAAUAUUUUGGUAAUAGUUUGUUUUUUAACUAGACCAAAAGAAAAAAUAAAAAAACUACACUCGUAGAAAUCUUAAAUAAACAUCUCACAGACAGGGGUUCGACUCCCCUCAUCUCCACCA
Molecule: transfer-messenger RNA, 425 nt
Filed under: Candidatus Improbicoccus pseudotrichonymphae
Lineage: Bacteria; Bacillati; Bacillota; Clostridia
Rfam family: transfer-messenger RNA
About the family: Bacterial tmRNA, also known as 10Sa RNA or SsrA, is named for its dual tRNA and mRNA-like properties. Its role is to liberate the mRNA from a stalled ribosome.
Source: RNAcentral